This 578-nucleotide long non-coding RNA is filed under the name Homo sapiens (human). RNAcentral describes it as "novel transcript, antisense to IWS1". Lineage: Eukaryota; Metazoa; Chordata; Mammalia; Primates; Hominidae. The record is from RNAcentral.
AGUACUCACUCAGCCCAGGCUUCCAGGCCCUCCUGGGCCCUCCUAUCCACUGAAGGAAAUGGGAGAUGAGUGGGUAAUGGAAAAGCCUUUGGAGUCAGAUGUAAAUCCAUGACUUGACCACUUAUUGCUGUGAGACCCUGGACAGCUGGAUAUAGAGUUCUUGUUCUAGCAUCCGCCCUGGGAAUCCCCGGAACUGGGCCUCUUACCGACACCAUUGCCUGUAAUCCACAAACCUAGGAGCACAUGGUUAAAGCAUGAGAUGUGAAACCAGGAAGAACCAGGUCUGAACCUUAGCUCCACCAGUGGUAGCUUCAAACCUUGGUCCUUUCUGAGCCUGCUUCUUCAACCGUAAGGGAACGCUACACUUCCUUAGAAAUUAAGAGUGUGUGCUACACUGCUUUACCAGAGCAAGGCCAAAAGCAGCUUCAAUUAUGGUACAACUGUGUGAAGACACAAUGCAAAACCACUCAAGAAUGCUCACUCAAAUGGAUUUUUACCAUGGAACUCGGAAACGGGACCCAGAAAGUUGUUUUCUCAAGUGGAUGGAACAACACAAGCAAUCAGUAUCCUGAAACAGG